Molecule: ribosomal RNA, 403 nt
Filed under: Peptostreptococcus sp. enrichment culture
Lineage: Bacteria; Bacillati; Bacillota; Clostridia; Peptostreptococcales; Peptostreptococcaceae
Description: bacterial SSU rRNA
Rfam family: Bacterial small subunit ribosomal RNA
Source: RNAcentral
UGGGGAAUAUUGCACAAUGGGCGAAAGCCUGAUGCAGCAACGCCGCGUGAACGAUGAAGGUCUUCGGAUCGUAAAGUUCUGUUGCAGGGGAAGAUAAUGACGGUACCCUGUGAGGAAGCCCCGGCUAACUACGUGCCAGCAGCCGCGGUAAUACGUAGGGGGCUAGCGUUAUCCGGAUUUACUGGGCGUAAAGGGUGCGUAGGUGGUCUUUCAAGUCGGUGGUCAAAGCCUACGGCUCAACCGUAGUUAGCCUCCGAAACUGGAAGACUUGAGUGCAGGAGAGGAAAGUGGAAUUCCCAGUGUAGCGGUGAAAUGCGUAGAUAUUGGGAGGAACACCGGUAGCGAAGGCGGCUUUCUGGACUGCAACUGACACUGAGGCACGAAAGCGUGGGUAGCAAACAGG